UGGGGAAUAAUGCACAAUGGGCGCAAGCCUGAUGCAGCCAUGCCGCGUGUAUGAAGAAGGCCUUCGGGUUGUAAAGUACUUUCAGCGGGGAGGAAGGCGAUAAGGUUAAUAACCUUGUCGAUUGACGUUACCCGCAGAAGAAGCACCGGCUAACUCCGUGCCAGCAGCCGCGGUAAUACGGAGGGUGCAAGCGUUAAUCGGAAUUACUGGGCGUAAAGCGCACGCAGGCGGUCUGUCAAGUCGGAUGUGAAAUCCCCGGGCUCAACCUGGGAACUGCAUUCGAAACUGGCAGGCUAGAGUCUUGUAGAGGGGGGUAGAAUUCCAGGUGUAGCGGUGAAAUGCGUAGAGAUCUGGAGGAAUACCGGUGGCGAAGGCGGCCCCCUGGACAAAGACUGACGCUCAGGUGCGAAAGCGUGGGGAGCAAACA
Molecule: ribosomal RNA, 427 nt
Filed under: uncultured bacterium
Lineage: Bacteria
Description: partial 16S ribosomal RNA
Rfam family: Bacterial small subunit ribosomal RNA
Source: RNAcentral